Molecule: ribosomal RNA, 817 nt
Filed under: uncultured bacterium
Lineage: Bacteria
Description: bacterial SSU rRNA
Rfam family: Bacterial small subunit ribosomal RNA
Source: RNAcentral
AACGAACGCUGGCGGCGUGGAUAAGACAUGCAAGUCGAACGAGAGAAUUGCUAGCUUGCUAAUAAUUCUCUAGUGGCGCACGGGUGAGUAACACGUGAGUAACCUGCCCCCAAGAGUGGGAUAGCCCCGGGAAACUGGGAUUAAUACCGCAUAAAAUCGCAAGAUUAAAGCAGCAAUGUGCUUGGGGAUGGGCUCGCGUCCUAUUAGUUAGUUGGUGAGGUAACGGCUCACCAAGGCGAUGACGGGUAGCCGGUCUGAGAGGAUGUCCGGCCACACUGGAACUGAGACACGGUCCAGACACCUACGGGUGGCAGCAGUCGAGAAUCAUUCACAAUGGGGGAAACCCUGAUGGUGCGACGCCGCGUGGGGGAAUGAAGGUCUUCGGAUUGUAAACCCCUGUCAUGUGGGAGCAAAUUAAAAAGAUAGUACCACAAGAGGAAGAGACGGCUAACUCUGUGCCAGCAGCCGCGGUAAUACAGAGGUCUCAAGCGUUGUUCGGAAUCACUGGGCGUAAAGCGUGCGUAGGCGGUUUCGUAAGUCGUGUGUGAAAGGCGGGGGCUCAACCCCCGGACUGCACAUGAUACUGCGAGACUAGAGUAAUGGAGGGGGAACCGGAAUUCUCGGUGUAGCAGUGAAAUGCGUAGAUAUCGAGAGGAACACUCGUGGCGAAGGCGGGUUCCUGGACAUUAACUGACGCUGAGGCACGAAGGCCAGGGGAGCGAAAGGGAUUAGAUACCCCUGUAGUCCUGGCAGUAAACGGUGCACACUUGGUGUGCGGGGAAUCGACCCCCUGCGUGCCGGAGCUAACGCGUUAAGC